UUUAACUGAAGAGUUUGAUCAUGGCUCAGAUUGAACGCUGGCGGCAGGCUUAACACAUGCAAGUCGAGCGGGGGAAGGUAGCUUGCUACCGGACCUAGCGGCGGACGGGUGAGUAAUGCUUAGGAAUCUGCCUAUUAGUGGGGGACAACAUCUCGAAAGGGAUGCUAAUACCGCAUACGUCCUACGGGAGAAAGCAGG
RNAcentral lists this ribosomal RNA (198 nucleotides) under Acinetobacter baumannii. RNAcentral describes it as "partial 16S ribosomal RNA". It matches the Rfam family "Bacterial small subunit ribosomal RNA", at positions 1 to 210 of the family's 1533-position model. Lineage: Bacteria; Pseudomonadati; Pseudomonadota; Gammaproteobacteria; Moraxellales; Moraxellaceae. The record is from RNAcentral.